GGCGCACGGGUGAGUAACGCGUAUGCAACCUACCUUCAACUGGGGGAUAGCCCAGGGAAACUUGGAUUAAUACCCCAUAGUAUUUAUGAAUCGCAUGGUUUAUAAAUUAAAGUUCCGGCGGUUGAAGAUGGGCAUGCGUGCCAUUAGUUAGUUGGUGAGGUAACGGCUCACCAAGACAGCGAUGGCUACGGGGUCUAAAAGGAUGGUCCCGCACACUGGUACUGAGACACGGACCAGACUCCUACGGGAGGCAGCAGUGAGGAAUAUUGGUCAAUGGGCGCAAGCCUGAACCAGCCAUGCCGCGUGCAGGAAGACGGCCCUAUGGGUUGUAAACUGCUUUUGUACGGGAAUAAUAACCACGACGUGUCGUGGGACGAAGGUACCGUACGAAUAAGCAUCGGCUAACUCCGUGCCAGCAGCCGCGGUAAUACGGAGGAUGCAGGCGUUAUCCGGAUUUAUUAGGUUUAAAGGGUGCGCAGGCGGCCCGGUAAGUCAGUGGUGAAAGUUUGCAGCUUAACUGUAAAAUUGCCAUUGAUACUGUCGGGCUUGAAUGUGGUAGAGGUAGGCGGAAUGUGUAGUGUAGCGGUGAAAUGCUUAGAUAUUACACAGAA
This 611-nucleotide ribosomal RNA is filed under the name uncultured bacterium. RNAcentral describes it as "bacterial SSU rRNA". It matches the Rfam family "Bacterial small subunit ribosomal RNA", at positions 97 to 706 of the family's 1533-position model. The record is from RNAcentral.